GAACAACGCUGGCGGCGUGCCUAACGCAUGCAAGUCGGGCGGGGCCGUCUUUCGGGAUGGUUCAGCGGCGGACGGGUGAGUAGCGCGUGACCGACCUGCCCGCUGGUGGGGGACAACCCCGGGAAACCGGGGCUGAUACCGCAUGAGUCCGUCGGCCGGUGGGGUCGGCGGGGAAAGCCUUUCGGGGCGCCGGCGGAGGGGGUUGCGUCCGAUUAGCUAGUCGGUGGGGUGACGGCCUACCGAGGCGACGAUCGGUCGCGGGUCUGAGAGGACGGCCCGCCACAGGGGGACUGAGACACGGCCCCCACACCUACGGGUGGCAGCAGCGAGGGAUUUUCGGCAAUGGGCGCAAGCCUGACCGAGCAACGCCGCGUGCGGGACGACGCCCCUCGGGGUGUAAACCGCUUUUGCCGGGGGCGAGACUGACGGUACCCGGCGAAUCAGCCUCGGCUAACUACGUGCCAGCCGCCGCCGUAACAC
This 480-nucleotide ribosomal RNA is filed under the name uncultured bacterium. Its description in RNAcentral is "bacterial SSU rRNA". It matches the Rfam family "Bacterial small subunit ribosomal RNA", at positions 32 to 526 of the family's 1533-position model. The record is from RNAcentral.